This 253-nucleotide ribosomal RNA is filed under the name uncultured bacterium. RNAcentral describes it as "partial 16S ribosomal RNA". It matches the Rfam family "Bacterial small subunit ribosomal RNA", at positions 524 to 776 of the family's 1533-position model. The record is from RNAcentral.
UACGUAGGGUGCGAGCGUUGUCCGGAAUUAUUGGGCGUAAAGAGCUCGUAGGCGGCCUGUUGCGUCUGCUGUGAAAGCCCGGGGCUCAACCCCGGGUCUGCAGUGGAUACGGGCAGGCUAGAGUCCGGCAGGGGAGACUGGAAUUCCUGGUGUAGCGGUGAAAUGCGCAGAUAUCAGGAGGAACACCGGUGGCGAAGGCGGGUCUCUGGGCCGGUACUGACGCUGAGGAGCGAAAGCGUGGGGAGCGAACAGG